AACGCUGGCGGCGUGUCCUAACACAUGCAAGCUCGAGCGGGUGCCAGUCUGUAGCAAUACAGAUGAAGCGCUAGCGGCAGACGGGUGAGUAACACGUAGUCAACCUACCUUUCCAUCCGGGAUAACUAACCGAAAGGUUAGCUAAUACCUGAUACGAUCGUCGAGCGGCAUCGCUUGACGCUGAAAGCAGUAAUGCGCGGAUCGAGGGGGCUGCGGCCCAUUAGCUAGUUGGUGAGGUAACGGCCCACCAAGGCUACGAUGGGUAGCUGGUCUGAGAGGACGACCAGCCACACUGGGACUGAGACACGGCCCAGACUCCUACGGGAGGCAGCAGUGAGGAAUUUUCCGCAAUGGGCGAAAGCCUGACGGAGCGACGCCGCGUGCACGAGGAAGGUCUUCGGAUCGUAAAGUGCUGUCGAGGGGGGCGAUUAUGACGGUACCCCUGGAGGAAGCCCCGGCUAACUACGUGCCAGCCGCCG
RNAcentral lists this ribosomal RNA (479 nucleotides) under uncultured bacterium. RNAcentral's name for it is "bacterial SSU rRNA". It matches the Rfam family "Bacterial small subunit ribosomal RNA", at positions 32 to 517 of the family's 1533-position model. The record is from RNAcentral.